Non-coding RNA from Pelobates cultripes (western spadefoot toad), 73 nucleotides. The record is from the annotation of a GenBank genome assembly. NCBI's taxonomy places the organism in Eukaryota, Metazoa, Chordata, Amphibia, Anura, Pelobatidae.
AACGUUUCAGCCACCAUCCGUGGCUUUCAUCAGGAUCAGUUCAGUGAAAGCCACGGAUGGUGGCUGAAACGUU